RNAcentral lists this ribosomal RNA (681 nucleotides) under Phyllobacterium loti. RNAcentral describes it as "bacterial SSU rRNA". It matches the Rfam family "Bacterial small subunit ribosomal RNA", at positions 45 to 773 of the family's 1533-position model. The record is from RNAcentral. Lineage: Bacteria; Pseudomonadati; Pseudomonadota; Alphaproteobacteria; Hyphomicrobiales; Phyllobacteriaceae.
GGCUUAACACAUUGCAAGUCGAACGCCCCGCAAGGGGAGUGGCAGACGGGUGAGUAACGCGUGGGAAUCUACCCAAUUCUUCGGAACAACUGAGGGAAACUUCAGCUAAUACCGAAUGAGCCCUUCGGGGGAAAGAUUUAUCGGAAUUGGAUGAGCCCGCGUUGGAUUAGCUAGUUGGUGGGGUAAAGGCCUACCAAGGCGACGAUCCAUAGCUGGUCUGAGAGGAUGAUCAGCCACACUGGGACUGAGACACGGCCCAGACUCCUACGGGAGGCAGCAGUGGGGAAUAUUGGACAAUGGGCGCAAGCCUGAUCCAGCCAUGCCGCGUGAGUGAUGAAGGUCUUAGGAUUGUAAAGCUCUUUCACCGGUGAAGAUAAUGACGGUAACCGGAGAAGAAGCCCCGGCUAACUUCGUGCCAGCAGCCGCGGUAAUACGAAGGGGGCUAGCGUUGUUCGGAUUUACUGGGCGUAAAGCGCACGUAGGCGGACUAUUAAGUCAGGGGUGAAAUCCCGGGGCUCAACCCCGGAACUGCCUUUGAUACUGGUAGUCUUGAGUUCGAGAGAGGUGAGUGGAAUUCCGAGUGUAGAGGUGAAAUUCGUAGAUAUUCGGAGGAACACCAGUGGCGAAGGCGGCUCACUGGCUCGAUACUGACGCUGAGGUGCGAAAGCGUGGGGAGCAAAC